Molecule: ribosomal RNA, 604 nt
Filed under: fungal endophyte
Lineage: Eukaryota; Fungi
Description: eukaryotic LSU rRNA
Rfam family: 5.8S ribosomal RNA (bases 181-334)
Source: RNAcentral
AUUAAAGAGUUCUAUAGCUCCCAAACCCAUGUGAACAUACCUAACGUUGCCUCGGCAGGUCGCACCUACCUUGUAGCACCCUACCCUGUAGGGCCUACCCGGGAGAUGCGGGUAAGCCUGCCGGCGGCCCACCAAACUCUGUUUAAUAUUGAAUUCUGAACAUAUAACUAAAUAAGUUAAAACUUUCAACAACGGAUCUCUUGGUUCUGGCAUCGAUGAAGAACGCAGCGAAAUGCGAUAAGUAAUGUGAAUUGCAGAAUUCAGUGAAUCAUCGAAUCUUUGAACGCAUAUUGCGCCCAUUAGUAUUCUAGUGGGCAGGACCGUUCGAGCGUCAUUUCGACCCUUAAGCCUUAGUUGCUUAGUGUUGGGAGCCUACGGCAACGUAGCUCCUCAAAGUUAGUGGCGGAGUUGGUUCACACUCUAGACGUAGUAAUUUUUUAUCUCGCCUAUUAGUUGGACUGAUCCCCUGCCGUAAAACCCCCAACUUAUCAAGGUUGACCUCGAAUCGGUUCAGACAAACUCGCUAAAUUGAAGCAUCUUAGUCAGCGAAGGAAAAGAAACCAACAGGGAUUGCCCUAGUAACGGCGAGUGAAGCGGCAACAGC